GCCAGGUGCGGUGGUGCACGCCUGUAAUCCUAGUGGCUUGGGAGGCUGAGACAGGAGCAUCAAGGGUUCAAAGCCAGCUUCAGCAAAAAAGCAAGGUGCUAAGCAACUCAGUGAGAUGAGACCCUGUCUCUA
This 132-nucleotide small RNA is filed under the name Marmota monax (woodchuck). Lineage: Eukaryota; Metazoa; Chordata; Mammalia; Rodentia; Sciuridae. The record is from RNAcentral.